Molecule: ribosomal RNA, 226 nt
Filed under: uncultured bacterium
Lineage: Bacteria
Description: partial 16S ribosomal RNA
Rfam family: Bacterial small subunit ribosomal RNA
Source: RNAcentral
CGGACGGUGAGUAUGUCUGGGAAACUGCCCGAUGGAGGGGAUACUAUGGAACGGUAGCUAAUACCGCAUAACGUCGCAAGACCAAAGAGGGGGACCUUCGGGCCUCUUGCCAUCGGAUGUGCCCAGAUGGGAUUAGCUAGUAGGUGGGGUAACGGCUCACCUAGGCGACGAUCCCUAGCUGGUCUGAGAGGAUGACCAGCCACACUGGAACUGAGACACGGUCCAG